GUCUUCUUUUUAAACAUCAAAAUAAGUCAAUUUUGCCAUACAACAUGUAUAAAAAUAUUUAAGGCAAUUUGUCAGAUAUUUUAAUUUCAUUUCAUUUUACAUUAUUUCUUUUAACAUUUUCUAUGGAAGUACAUGUACUCCAAGAAGAAGAAGAAGCUAAAUAACAGAAUGCAAUUCUCUGAGGCAUUGAUUUACAUGUAUGUGCAUAUAAAGAGCAGCCGGCAAUUAUUUCGUGACGAGAGGUAUAAGUUUCAACUCAUCUUUAAAUAUCCAAGGAUCUCUAUUUAUUGGAAAGGCAUCAAUCGCAAACAACUAACACUGCAAUGUGGCAGCUAAUGAAUGUCGGUCUUUCAGAUACUGCCAUGUUUUGGAUGACAAGUGUUUUUUAUCUUCAAAAUUGUUUAGUUUUCUUCCAAUAGAUUUGUCAGAAAUAUA
Molecule: long non-coding RNA, 435 nt
Organism: Mytilus trossulus (common blue mussel)
Lineage: Eukaryota; Metazoa; Mollusca; Bivalvia; Mytilida; Mytilidae
Exons: 2
Source: RefSeq, a predicted model, not a curated record